This 729-nucleotide ribosomal RNA is filed under the name uncultured bacterium. Its description in RNAcentral is "bacterial SSU rRNA". It matches the Rfam family "Bacterial small subunit ribosomal RNA", at positions 59 to 761 of the family's 1533-position model. The record is from RNAcentral.
CAGUCGACGCUUCUUUUUCCCCGGAGCUUGCUCCACCGGAAAAAGAGGAGUGGCGAACGGGUGAGUAACACGUGGGUAACCUGCCCAUCAGAAGGGGAUAACACUUGGAAACAGGUGCUAAUACCGUAUAACAAUCGAAACCGCAUGGUUUUGAUUUGAAAGGCGCUUUCGGGUGUCGCUGAUGGAUGGACCCGCGGUGCAUUAGCUAGUUGGUGAGGUAACGGCUCACCAAGGCGACGAUGCAUAGCCGACCUGAGAGGGUGAUCGGCCACAUUGGGACUGAGACACGGCCCAAACUCCUACGGGAGGCAGCAGUAGGGAAUCUUCGGCAAUGGACGAAAGUCUGACCGAGCAACGCCGCGUGAGUGAAGAAGGUUUUCGGAUCGUAAAACUCUGUUGUUAGAGAAGAACAAGGAUGAGAGUAACUGUUCAUCCCUUGACGGUAUCUAACCAGAAAGCCACGGCUAACUACGUGCCAGCAGCCGCGGUAAUACGUAGGUGGCAAGCGUUGUUCGGAUUUAUUGGGCGUAAAGCGAGCGCAGGCGGUUUCUUAAGUCUGAUGUGAAAGCCCCCGGCUCAACCGGGGAGGGUCAUUGGAAACUGGGAGACUUGAGUGCAGAAGAGGAGAGUGGAAUUCCAUGUGUAGCGGUGAAAUGCGUAGAUAUAUGGAGGAACACCAGUGGCGAAGGCGGCUCUCUGGUCUGUAACUGACGCUGAGGCUCGAAAGCG